RNAcentral lists this ribosomal RNA (253 nucleotides) under uncultured bacterium. RNAcentral describes it as "partial 16S ribosomal RNA". It matches the Rfam family "Bacterial small subunit ribosomal RNA", at positions 524 to 776 of the family's 1533-position model. The record is from RNAcentral.
UACGGGGGGGGCAAGCGUUGUUCGGAAUUACUGGGCGUAAAGCGUGCGCAGGCGGUUGUGCAAGACAGAUGUGAAAUCCCCGGGCUCAACCUGGGAACUGCAUUUGUGACUGCACGGCUAGAGUGUGUCAGAGGGGGGUAGAAUUCCACGUGUAGCAGUGAAAUGCGUAGAUAUGUGGAGGAAUACCGAUGGCGAAGGCAGCCCCCUGGGAUGACACUGACGCUCAUGCACGAAAGCGUGGGGAGCAAACAGG